UAUAAGCAAUUAUACGGCGAAACUGCGAAUGGCUCAUUAUAUAAGUUAUCGUUUAUUUGAUAGCACUUUACUACUUGGAUAACCGUGGUAAUUCUAGAGCUAAUACAUGCUAAAAAUCCCGACUUCGGAAGGGAUGUAUUUAUUAGAUUAAAAGCCAAUGCCCUCUGGGCUCUCUGGUGAAUCAUGAUAACUGCUCGAAUCGCAGGGCCUCGUGCCGGCGAUGGUUCAUUCAAAUUUCUUCCCUAUCAACUUUCGAUGUUUGGGUAUUGGCCAAACAUGGUUACAACGGGUAACGGAGGGUUAGGGCUCGACCCCGGAGAAGGAGCCUGAGAAACGGCUACUACAUCCAAGGAAGGCAGCAGGCGCGCAAAUUACCCAAUCCCGACACGGGGAGGUAGUGACAAUAAAUACUGAUACAGGGCUCUUUCGGGUCUUGUAAUUGGAAUGAGUACAAUUUAAAUCCCUUAACAAGGAACAAUUGGAGGGCAAGUCUGGUGCCAGCAGCCGCGGUAAUUCCAGCUCCAAUAGCGUAUAUUAAAGUUGUUGUGGUUAAAAAGCUCGUAGUUGACCCUUGGGCCUGGCUGGCCGGUCCGCCUCACCGCGUGUACUGGUCCGGCCGGGCCUUUCCCUCUGUGGAACCCCAUGCCCUUCACUGGGCGUGGCGGGGAAACAGGACUUUUACUUUGAAAAAAUUAGAGUGCUCCAGGCAGGCCUAUGCUCGAAUACAUUAGCAUGGAAUAAUAGAAUAGGACGUGCGGUUCUAUUUUGUUGGUUUCUAGGACCGCCGUAAUGAUUAAUAGGGACAGUCGGGGGCAUCAGUAUUCAAUUGUCAGAGGUGAAAUUCUUGGAUCUAUUGAAGACUAACUACUGCGAAAGCAUUUGCCAAGGAUGUUUUCAUUAAUCAAGAACGAAAGUUAGGGGAUCGAAGACGAUCAGAUACCGUCGUAGUCCUGACCGUAAACUAUGCCGACUAGGGAUCGGACGAUGUUAUUUUUUGACUCGUUCGGCACCUUACGAGAAAUCAAAGUG
RNAcentral lists this ribosomal RNA (1029 nucleotides) under Pleurocordyceps sinensis. RNAcentral describes it as "SSU rRNA". It matches the Rfam family "Eukaryotic small subunit ribosomal RNA", at positions 64 to 1105 of the family's 1831-position model. Lineage: Eukaryota; Fungi; Ascomycota; Sordariomycetes; Hypocreales; Polycephalomycetaceae. The record is from RNAcentral.